Molecule: antisense RNA, 78 nt
Filed under: Streptomyces cellostaticus
Lineage: Bacteria; Bacillati; Actinomycetota; Actinomycetes; Kitasatosporales; Streptomycetaceae
Description: ASpks TB sRNA
Rfam family: ASpks TB sRNA
Source: Rfam by way of RNAcentral
CUUCAACGAGCCCAGCCAGAGCGGCUCCUGGUCCGCGCCGCGCUCCUGCCCGUACGUCGCGAGCAGCGCGUGCGCCUC